This 253-nucleotide ribosomal RNA is filed under the name uncultured bacterium. Its description in RNAcentral is "partial 16S ribosomal RNA". It matches the Rfam family "Bacterial small subunit ribosomal RNA", at positions 524 to 776 of the family's 1533-position model. The record is from RNAcentral.
UACGUAGGGUGCGAGCGUUGUCAGGAAUUAUUGGGCGUAAAGGGCUCGUAGGCGGUUUGUCGCGUCGGGAGUGAAAACACCGGGCUUAACUCGGUGCUUGCUUUCGAUACGGGCAGACUAGAGGUAUGCAGGGGAGAACGGAAUUCCUGGUGUAGCGGUGAAAUGCGCAGAUAUCAGGAGGAACACCGGUGGCGAAGGCGGUUCUCUGGGCAUUACCUGACGCUGAGGAGCGAAAGUGUGGGGAGCGAACAGG